AGCACGGUGAAAUGAGUACUAUCCAGAUGCGAAGAGCUCGAUCCGGUUUAGUAUCACGCAAUUGCUAGAGCACGGGAGGAUCAGGGAACAGAUAUGUCGAUGAGGAAGAGUAAUAACCGGUAAAGAGAUCAAAAUCCUAGGGUUUGGAAAAUCGUACCCGAAUAGAGAUGACGGUCUUCCUUUGAUGUCUCAAAGCCGGCCAUAAUAGAAUAGAUAGAGCCUAUUACAAU
RNAcentral lists this long non-coding RNA (230 nucleotides) under Ricinus communis (castor bean). Its description in RNAcentral is "long non-coding RNA (RCOM_LNC001183)". Lineage: Eukaryota; Viridiplantae; Streptophyta; Magnoliopsida; Malpighiales; Euphorbiaceae. The record is from RNAcentral.